RNAcentral lists this ribosomal RNA (114 nucleotides) under uncultured bacterium. RNAcentral's name for it is "partial 16S ribosomal RNA". It matches the Rfam family "Bacterial small subunit ribosomal RNA", at positions 1360 to 1482 of the family's 1533-position model. The record is from RNAcentral.
CGGUGAAUACGUUCCCGGACCUUGUACACACCGCCCGUCAAGCCAUGGAAGCCGGGGAGACCUGAAGUUGGUAACCGCUAAGGAGCCACCUAGGGUAGAAUCGGUAACUGGGCU